GAUCAACGCUGGCGGCGUGCUUAACACAUGCAAGUCGAACGAGAAGUGAAGACGGAAACCUUCGGGCGGAAGGCUUUAUUUCGAGUGGCGGACGGGUGAGUAACGCGUGGGUAACCUGCCUCAUACAGGGGGAUAACAGUUGGAAACGACUGUUAAUACCGCAUAAGACCACAGCACCGCAUGGUGCGGGGGUAAAAACUCCGGUGGUAUGAGAUGGACCCGCGUUCGAUUAGCCAGUUGGCGGGGUAACGGCCCACCAAAGCGACGAUCGAUAGCCGAUCUGAGAGGAUGACCGGCCACAUUGGGACUGAGACACGGCCCAAACUCCUACGGGAGGCAGCAGUGGGGAAUAUUGCACAAUGGGGGAAACCCUGAUGCAGCGACGCCGCGUGAGUGAAGAAGUAUUUCGGUAUGUAAAGCUCUAUCAGCAGGGAAGAAAAUGACGGUACCUGAGGAAGAAGCCCCGGCUAACUACGUG
This 478-nucleotide ribosomal RNA is filed under the name uncultured bacterium. RNAcentral describes it as "partial 16S ribosomal RNA". It matches the Rfam family "Bacterial small subunit ribosomal RNA", at positions 28 to 507 of the family's 1533-position model. The record is from RNAcentral.